RNAcentral lists this ribosomal RNA (253 nucleotides) under uncultured bacterium. RNAcentral describes it as "partial 16S ribosomal RNA". It matches the Rfam family "Bacterial small subunit ribosomal RNA", at positions 524 to 776 of the family's 1533-position model. The record is from RNAcentral.
GACGGAGGAUGCAAGCGUUAUCCGGAAUGAUUGGGCGUAAAGCGUUCGCAGGUGGCUGUUCAAGUCUGCUGUCAAAGACCGGGGCUUAACCCUAGAAAGGCAGUGGAAACUGAACGGCUGGGGUGCAGUAGGGGUAGAGGGAAUUCCCAGUGUAGCGGUGAAAUGCGUAGAGAAUGGGAAGAACACCGGUGGCGAAAGCGGUCUGCUGGACUGCAACUGUCACUGAGGGAGGAAAGCUAGAGGAGCGAAAGGG